Molecule: ribosomal RNA, 260 nt
Filed under: uncultured bacterium
Lineage: Bacteria
Description: partial small subunit ribosomal RNA
Rfam family: Bacterial small subunit ribosomal RNA
Source: RNAcentral
AGGACGAACGCUGGCGGCGUGCUUAACACAUGCAAGUCACGGGGGUCCCAGGGGCAACUUUGGGAUAACCGGCGAACGGGUGCGUAACACGUGAACAACCUGCCCUCGUGUGGGGGAUAGCCAUGCUAACGCGUGGGUAAUACCGCAUACGUUCCUUUGGGGGAGUCCCUGGGGGAGGAAAGCUCCGGCGCACGGGGAGGGGUUCGCGGCCUAUCAGCUAGUUGGCGGGGUAAUGGCCCACCAAGGCGACGACGGGUAGC